Molecule: ribosomal RNA, 442 nt
Filed under: Enterobacter cloacae
Lineage: Bacteria; Pseudomonadati; Pseudomonadota; Gammaproteobacteria; Enterobacterales; Enterobacteriaceae
Description: bacterial SSU rRNA
Rfam family: Bacterial small subunit ribosomal RNA
Source: RNAcentral
UUGAUCAUGCUCAGAUUGAACGCUGGCGGCAGGCCUAACACAUGCAAGUCGAACGGUAACAGGAAGCAGCUUGCUGCUUUGCUGACGAGUGGCGGACGGGUGAGUAAUGUCUGGGAAACUGCCUGAUGGAGGGGGAUAACUACUGGAAACGGUAGCUAAUACCGCAUAACGUCGCAAGACCAAAGAGGGGGACCUUCGGGCCUCUUGCCAUCGGAUGUGCCCAGAUGGGAUUAGCUAGUAGGUGGGGUAACGGCUCACCUAGGCGACGAUCCCUAGCUGGUCUGAGAGGAUGACCAGCCACACUGGAACUGAGACACGGUCCAGACUCCUACGGGAGGCAGCAGUGGGGAAUAUUGCACAAUGGGCGCAAGCCUGAUGCAGCCAUGCCGCGUGUAUGAAGAAGGCCUUCGGGUUGUAAAGUACUUUCAGCGGGGAGGAAGGC